Molecule: ribosomal RNA, 512 nt
Filed under: uncultured bacterium
Lineage: Bacteria
Description: bacterial SSU rRNA
Rfam family: Bacterial small subunit ribosomal RNA
Source: RNAcentral
CGGCGUGCCUAAUACAUGCAAGUCGAACGCAUUGUGGUUGAAAUGAUAUGAAGAACUUGUUCAGAUUUGAUUUUCAACAUUGCAAUGAGUGGCGAACGGGUGAGUAACACGUGGGAAACCUACCUCUUAGCAGGGGAUAACAUUUGGAAACAAUGCUAAUACCGUAUAAUAAUUAAAACCGCAUGGUUUUAGUUUAAAAGAUGGUCUUGCUAUCACUAAGAGAUGGUCCCGCGGUGUAUUAGUUAGUUGGUGAGGUAAUGGCUCACCAAGACAAUGAUACAUAGCCGAGUUGAGAGACUGACCGGCCACAAUGGGACUGAGACACGGCCCAUACUCCUACGGGAGGCAGCAGUAGGGAAUCUUCCACAUUGGACGAAAGUCUGAUGGAGCAACGCCGCGUGUGUGAUGAAGGGUUUCGGCUCGUAAAACACUGUUGUAAGAGAAGAAUGACAUUGAGAGUAACUGUUCAAUGUGUGACGGUAUCUUACCAGAAAGGAACGGCUAAAUACGUG